GUUGGCCAGGCUGGUCUUGAACUCAUGGCCUCAAGUUACCCAUCCACCUUGGCCUCCCAAGUGUUCUAGAAUUACAGGCAUGAGCCACUGCAUCCAGCCUUAUCUUUAAUUUUUUAAAUCAUGUUUAUCAGUUCUCUGGAGGAAACAGUGUUGGAAUAAAUAAUAAAUUUGUAAACCCAGAGUAGAAUAUAAUCUUGACUUCAUUGACAAUAAUUGAAAUUUAAAACAACAAAGUACAACUCAAAAACCCAAGAGGUGUGGGGAGAGACACAAACUGAAGGAAACACAAUCAAAAAAGAAAAGCACAUGACAUAACUCACUUAAGUUUUUGAACAGAUUAUUGUAACAUACAGAAAGUUGUCAGCAAGUUUAUAUACCUGAUCUGAUAUCUUGUCUCAGUGUCAUGAGAAUGCUAAGAAGUAACACAGGGUAACCCUUUUAAAAGACUUUAUCGUUUUAGUGGCAUGAUGCAUCAUUUUUUUUGCAUUUAAUUCAGAAACUGGAAGAAUAUUCUCUGAGUUAAAUUUGAGGUGGAUGCCACUGUGCAGUUUCACUAAAAUACCCAGACAGUUUGAUAUCAUGUGCACAAUCUGUUAGCUCAGGAAGAACGGGAGAAAGAUAUGGUCCUUGUGUAUGUGUGGAAAGUCAUCAUAACUUCAUUCAGUUUCUGUCUUCUUCCAGUCAGGGAUCUACUAGCUUGACUAUUCUUCACUUGUUCCCUUUCAUUUACAGGUCACCCAACAAGACAAACAACACAGGUCCAGGAAAGAGUCCUGGGAAAUAGGAUUUACAUAUACAUGUGGACAUGAGCACAACCCACAGGAUCACUUGCACAGUCACUUUCACCUGAGCUGACAGGUCUCUUACACUGUACCACCCAGUCCAUGUCUGCAGCCUUCGGGAGCAUGACAUCCCUUCGGCUGGAGACUGCCUGGCCUGCUCUUCUCCUUCUCAGGUACCCCGUGUAUCUAAUAGGUUUACCUACCCAGAUGUGUUCCUGAUGAUGAUGCUGGUUUCACUUGCAAAUUCCCACAUUAUUCCUACCCCUCUGGUUUGGGUGUUUUAAUUUUACUGGAUAAUGAUCGUGGUGAUUUUAAACAUUUCCUGUUGCUUGUUAAACUGCCUGCCCGAUUCAGCUCCAAAUAACAGCUUUUGCAUGCAAGUGAAAAUUUAGCUCCUAGUAUUUAACAACUACUAUAAUUUUAAAAUCUACUUUCAAUUAAGAAAACCUUGUAAUUCUAAAAAGUGGUUG
This 1252-nucleotide long non-coding RNA is filed under the name Callithrix jacchus (white-tufted-ear marmoset). Its description in RNAcentral is "lncRNA (ENSCJAG00000079470.1)". The record is from RNAcentral. Lineage: Eukaryota; Metazoa; Chordata; Mammalia; Primates; Cebidae.